RNAcentral lists this ribosomal RNA (254 nucleotides) under uncultured bacterium. RNAcentral describes it as "partial 16S ribosomal RNA". It matches the Rfam family "Bacterial small subunit ribosomal RNA", at positions 524 to 776 of the family's 1533-position model. The record is from RNAcentral.
CACGUAGGGUGCGAGCGUUGUCCGGAAUUAUUGGGCGUAAAGAGCUCGUAGGCGGUGUGUCGCGUCGGCCGUGAAAACCUGCAGCUUAACUGUGGGCUUGCGGUCGAUACGGGCAUCACUGGAGUUCGGCAGGGGAGACUGGAAUUCCUGGUGUAGCGGUGAAAUGCGCAGAUAUCAGGAGGAACACCGGUGGAGAAGGCGGGUCUCUGGGCCGAUACUGACGCUGAGGAGCGAAAGCGUGGGGAGCGAACAGG